UACGGAGGAUCCAAGCGUUAUCCGGAAUCAUUGGGUUUAAAGGGUCCGUAGGCGGUUUGGUAAGUCAGUGGUGAAAGCCCAUCGCUUAACGAUGGAACGGCCAUUGAUACUGCCAGACUUGAAUUACUGGGAAGUAACUAGAAUAUGUAGUGUAGCGGUGAAAUGCUUAGAUAUUACAUGGAAUACCAAUUGCGAAGGCAGGUUACUACCAGUGGAUUGACGCUGAUUGGACGAAAAGCGUGGGGAGCGAACGAGGAU
This 258-nucleotide ribosomal RNA is filed under the name uncultured bacterium. RNAcentral's name for it is "partial 16S ribosomal RNA". It matches the Rfam family "Bacterial small subunit ribosomal RNA", at positions 524 to 779 of the family's 1533-position model. The record is from RNAcentral.